UGAACGCUGGCGGCGUGCCUAACACAUGCAAGUCGAACGAGAACGGCACUAUGAUACCUUCGGGAAGAUUAGUGUGUCAGCUAAGUGGCGCACGGGUGAGUAAUGUAUAGGUAACAUGCCCCUUGGAGGGGGAUAACAGUUGGAAACGACUGCUAAUACCCCAUACUCCUUUUUGACAUAAGUUGAGAAGGGAAAUGGUUUAUUCCGCCAAGGGAUUGGCCUGUAUCGUAUCAGUUAGUUGGUGGGGUAAUGGCCUACCAAGACUAUGACGCGUAGCUGGUCUGAGAGGAUGAUCAGCCACACUGGAACUGAGACACGGUCCAGACUCCUACGGGAGGCAGCAGUGGGGAAUAUUGCACAAUGGACGAAAGUCUGAUGCAGCAACGCCGCGUGGAGGAUGACGCCUUUCGGGGCGUAAACUCCUUUUCUGAGGGAAGAAAAUGACGGUACCUCAUGAAUAAGGGGCGGCUAACUACGUGCCAGCAGCCGCGGUAAUACGUAGGCCCCAAGCGUUAUCCGAAAUUACUGGGCGUAAAGCGAUCGUAGGCGGUCUAUUAAGUUUGGCGUGAAACCCCUCGGCUCAACCGAGGACUCGUGCCGAAAACUGGUAGACUGGAGGUAUGGAGAGGUAUCUGGAAUUGCUAUUGUAGGGGUUAAAUCCGUAGAUAAUAGAAGGAACACCAAAAGCGAAGGCGGGAUACUGGCCAUGACCUGACGCUGACGAUCGAAAGCGUGGGGAGCGAAACGGAUUAGAUACCCGUGUAGUCCACGCCCUAAACGAUGAAUACUCGUGGUUGUGGGGUUCAAAUCCCUCAGUGCCCAAGCUAACGCGUUAAGUAUUCCGCCUGGGGAGUACGGUCGCAAGAUUAAAACUCAAAGGAAUAGACGGGGAUCCACACAAGCAGUGGAGCAUCUGGUUUAAUUCGAAUAUACGCGACCUUACCGGGGCUUGACAUCCUGAGAACUUCUAGAAUAGUAAGGUGCCCUUUCGGGGGAGCUCAGUGACAGGUGCUGCAUGGUUGUCGUCAGCUCGUGCUUUGAAGUGUUCGGUUAAGUCCGUUAACGAGCGCAACCCUCAUCGUAUGUUAUUAUUCAUGCGAGACUGCCAGGUUAACCUGGAGGAAGGUGAGGAUGACGUCAAAUCAGCAUGGCCCUUAAUGUCCCGGGCUACACAGGUGCUACAAUGGGAGGGACAAAGCGCAGCCAAGCCGCAAGGUGGAGCAAAUCGCAUCAAACCCUCUCUCAGUUCGGAUUGGGGUCUGCAACUCGACCCUAUGAAGUUGGAAUUGCUAGUAAUCGCGCAUCAGCAAUGGCGCGGUGAAUAUGUUCCUGGAUCUUGUACUCACCGCCCGUCAAACCACGG
RNAcentral lists this ribosomal RNA (1363 nucleotides) under uncultured prokaryote. Its description in RNAcentral is "16S ribosomal RNA". It matches the Rfam family "Bacterial small subunit ribosomal RNA", at positions 30 to 1407 of the family's 1533-position model. The record is from RNAcentral.